UGCGUAGGCGGUUAGUUAAGUCUGUUGUGAAAUCCCCGGGCUCAACCUGGGAAUGGCAAUGGAUACUGGCUAGCUAGAGUGUGUCAGAGGAUGGUGGAAUUCCCGGUGUAGUGGUGAAAUGCGUAGAGAUCGGGAAGAACACCAAUGGCGAAGGCAGGUCUCUGGGCCGUCACUGACGCUGAGGAGCGAAAGCGUGGGGAGCGAACA
This 207-nucleotide ribosomal RNA is filed under the name uncultured bacterium. RNAcentral describes it as "partial 16S ribosomal RNA". It matches the Rfam family "Bacterial small subunit ribosomal RNA", at positions 568 to 774 of the family's 1533-position model. The record is from RNAcentral.